AAAUACUGAAAGAAUGCCCUAAAGCAGGGGUUCUCAGGACAAUUUUUUUGGUGGCUUCAGAGUACGGCCACCAACUCUUGUUGGUGGCUGCUCUCACACGUUUCCCUAAAAUACUUAAUUACCUUUAGGAAAAAAUAAAUAUACAUAUAUACACGUCCAAAUCAUUAUAAUUUAUUUAU
Molecule: long non-coding RNA, 179 nt
Organism: Dermochelys coriacea (leatherback sea turtle)
Lineage: Eukaryota; Metazoa; Chordata; Testudines; Dermochelyidae
Exons: 4
Source: RefSeq, a predicted model, not a curated record